ACGAACGCUGGCGGCGUGCUUAACACAUGCAAGUCGAACGGAAAGGCCCUGCUUUUGUGGGGUGCUCGAGUGGCGAACGGGUGAGUAACACGUGAGUAACCUGCCCUUGACUUUGGGAUAACUUCAGGAAACUGGGGCUAAUACCGGAUAGGAGCUCCUGCUGCAUGGUGGGGGUUGGAAAGUUUCGGCGGUUGGGGAUGGACUCGCGGCUUAUCAGCUUGUUGGUGGGGUAGUGGCUUACCAAGGCUUUGACGGGUAGCCGGCCUGAGAGGGUGGCCGGCCACAUUGGGACUGAGAUACGGCCCAGACUCCUACGGGAGGCAGCAGUGGGGAAUAUUGCACAAUGGGCGGAAGCCUGAUGCAGCAACGCCGCGUGCGGGAUGACGGCCUUCGGGUUGUAAACCGCUUUCGCCUGUGACGAAGCGUGAGUGACGGUAAUGGGUAAAGAGGCACCGGCUAACUACGUG
RNAcentral lists this ribosomal RNA (467 nucleotides) under uncultured bacterium. RNAcentral's name for it is "partial 16S ribosomal RNA". It matches the Rfam family "Bacterial small subunit ribosomal RNA", at positions 29 to 507 of the family's 1533-position model. The record is from RNAcentral.